This 467-nucleotide ribosomal RNA is filed under the name uncultured bacterium. RNAcentral's name for it is "partial 16S ribosomal RNA". It matches the Rfam family "Bacterial small subunit ribosomal RNA", at positions 29 to 507 of the family's 1533-position model. The record is from RNAcentral.
ACGAACGCUGGCGGCGUGCUUAACACAUGCAAGUCGAACGGAAAGGCCCUGCUUUUGUGGGGUGCUCGAGUGGCGAACGGGUGAGUAACACGUGAGUAACCUGCCCUUGACUUUGGGAUAACUUCAGGAAACUGGGGCUAAUACCGGAUAGGAGCUCCUGCUGCAUGGUGGGGGUUGGAAAGUUUCGGCGGUUGGGGAUGGACUCGCGGCUUAUCAGCUUGUUGGUGGGGUAGUGGCUUACCAAGGCUUUGACGGGUAGCCGGCCUGAGAGGGUGACCGGGCACAUUGGGUCUGAGAUACGGCCCAGACUCCUUCGGGGGGCAGCCGUGGGGAAUAUUGCACAAUGGGCGGCAGCCUGAUGCAGCAACGCCGCGUGCGGGAUGACGGCCUUCGGGUUGUAAACCGCUUUCGCCUGUGACGAAGCGUGAGUGACGGUAAUGGGUACAGAAGCACCGGCUAACUACGUG